Molecule: ribosomal RNA, 424 nt
Filed under: uncultured bacterium
Lineage: Bacteria
Description: bacterial SSU rRNA
Rfam family: Bacterial small subunit ribosomal RNA
Source: RNAcentral
AAUCAACGCUGGCGGCGUGCCUAACACAUGCAAGUCGCACGAGAAAGGGCAGCAAUGCCUGAGUACAGUGGCGCACGGGUGAGUAACACGUGAAUGAUCUACCUCCGAGUGGGGAAUAACUGAGAGAAAUCUUAGCUAAUACCGCAUAACACUUACGAGUCAAAGCAGCAAUGCGCUUGGAGAGGAGUUCGCGGCAGAUUAGUUAGNGGCGGGGUAAUGGCCCACCAGGACGAUGAUCUGUAUCCGGCCUGAGAGGCGCACGGACACACUGGAACUGAACACGGUCCAGACUCCUACGGAGGCAGCAGUGGGGAAUUUUGCGCAAUGGGGGAAACCCUGACGCAGCAACGCCGCGUGGAGGAUGAAAUCCCUGGGAUGUAAACUCCUUUCGAUCGGGAAGAUAAUGACGGUACCGAGAGAAGAA